This 403-nucleotide ribosomal RNA is filed under the name Verrucomicrobiota bacterium. RNAcentral's name for it is "Verrucomicrobia bacterium partial 16S ribosomal RNA". It matches the Rfam family "Bacterial small subunit ribosomal RNA", at positions 355 to 776 of the family's 1533-position model. Lineage: Bacteria; Pseudomonadati; Verrucomicrobiota. The record is from RNAcentral.
UAGGGAAUCUUCCGCAAUGGACGAAAGUCUGACGGAGCAACGCCGCGUGAACGAUGAAGGUCUUCGGAUCGUAAAGUUCUGUUGCAGGGGAAGAUAAUGACGGUACCCUGUGAGGAAGCCCCGGCUAACUACGUGCCAGCAGCCGCGGUAAUACGUAGGGGGCUAGCGUUAUCCGGAUUUACUGGGCGUAAAGGGUGCGUAGGUGGUCCUUCAAGUCGGUGGUUAAAGGCUACGGCUCAACCGUAGUAAGCCGCCGAAACUGGAGGACUUGAGUGCAGGAGAGGAAAGUGGAAUUCCCAGUGUAGCGGUGAAAUGCGUAGAUAUUGGGAGGAACACCAGUAGCGAAGGCGGCUGUCUGGACUGCAACUGACACUGAGGCACGAAAGCGUGGGUAGCAAACAGG